Molecule: ribosomal RNA, 628 nt
Filed under: uncultured rumen archaeon
Lineage: Archaea
Description: bacterial SSU rRNA
Rfam family: Archaeal small subunit ribosomal RNA
Source: RNAcentral
UUCUGGUUGAUCCUGGCGGAGGCUACUGCUAUUGGGAUUCUAUUAAGCCAUGCGAGUUGAAUGAAUUUAGAUUCAUGGCGUACGGCUCAGUAACACGUGGAUAACUUACCCUUAGGACUGGGAUAACUCUGGGAAACUGGGGAUAAUACCGGAUAUUAGGCUAUGGCUGGAAUGCUUUGCCUUUGAAAUGUUUCUUGUAUUCGCCUAAGGAUAGAUCUGCGGCUGAUUAGGCCGUUGGUGGGGUAAUGGCCCACCAAGCCUAUGAUCGGUACGGGUUGUGAGAGCAAGAGCCCGGAGAUGGAACCUGAGACAAGGUUCCAGACCCUACGGGGUGCAGCAGGCGCGAAACCUCCGCAAUGUACGAAAGUGCGACGGGGGGAUCCCAAGUGUUAUUCUUAAUAGGAUAACUUUUCAUUAGUGUAAAAAGCUUUUAGAAUAAGAGCUGGGNCAGACCGGUGCCAGCCGCCGCGGNUACACCGGCAGCUCAAGUGUUAGCUGUUUUUAUUGGGGCUAAAGCGUUCGUAGCCGGGUUGAUAAGUCUUGGGUGAAAGCUUAUGGGCUAAACUGUAGAAUUGCUGAGGAUACUGUCAGACUUGAAGUCGGGAGAAGUUAGAGGUACUACCGGGGU